UACGAAGGGGACUAGCGUUGCUCGGAAUCACUGGGCGUAAAGCGCACGUAGGCGGCUUUUUAAGUCAGGGGUGAAAUCCUGGAGCUCAACUCCAGAACUGCCUUUGAUACUGAAAAGCUUGAGUCCGGGAGAGGUGAGUGGAACUGCGAGUGUAGAGGUGAAAUUCGUAGAUAUUCGGAAGAACACCAGUGGCGAAGGCGACUCACUGGACACGUAUUGACGCUGAGGUGCGAAAGCGUGGGGAGCAAACAGG
RNAcentral lists this ribosomal RNA (253 nucleotides) under uncultured bacterium. RNAcentral describes it as "partial 16S ribosomal RNA". It matches the Rfam family "Bacterial small subunit ribosomal RNA", at positions 524 to 776 of the family's 1533-position model. The record is from RNAcentral.